RNAcentral lists this ribosomal RNA (508 nucleotides) under uncultured bacterium. RNAcentral's name for it is "partial 16S ribosomal RNA". It matches the Rfam family "Bacterial small subunit ribosomal RNA", at positions 28 to 523 of the family's 1533-position model. The record is from RNAcentral.
GAUGAACGCUAGCUACAGGCUUAACACAUGCAAGUCGAGGGGAAACGAUAUUGGAAGCUUGCUUCCGAUAGGCGUCAACCGGCGCACGGGUGAGUAACGCGUAUCCAACCUGCCCAUCACUUGGGGAUAACCUUGCGAAAGUAAGACUAAUACCCAAUGACGUCUCUAGAAGACAUCUGAAAGAGAUUAAAGAUUUAUCGGUGAUGGAUGGGGAUGCGUCUGAUUAGCUUGUUGGCGGGGUAACGGCCCACCAAGGCGACGAUCAGUAGGGGUUCUGAGAGGAAGGUCCCCCACAUUGGAACUGAGACACGGUCCAAACUCCUACGGGAGGCAGCAGUGAGGAAUAUUGGUCAAUGGACGAGAGUCUGAACCAGCCAGGUAGCGUGCAGGAUGACGGCCCUAUGGGUUGUAAACUGCUUUUAUAAGGGAAUAAAGUGAGAGUCGUGACUCUUUUUGCAUGUACCUUAUGAAUAAGGACCGGCUAAUUCCGUGCCAGCCGCCGCCGUAA